GGAAGGAUCAUUAACACGUGUUUCACACACGUAUUAACUCUAUCAACCAAUCGCGAACUGUUAUUAACUUUAUUUUUACUUUUUUUAUCUGGUCUAAUUCUUUUUGGUAUUCGAUGAUCUCUUGACACUAAUACUGUUCGAUUGAGGACGUCUUGAGUAUCGAAACACAAAAUAAAUACGAAACAACUCUUAGCAACGGAUAUCUUGGUUCUCGUAACGAUGAAGAGCGCAGCGAAAUGCGAUACGUAAUGCGAAUUGCAGAAUUCAGUGAAUCAUCAAAUUCUUGAACGCAACCGGCGCCUUCAGGUCUUCCUGGAGGCACGUUUCUCUCAGUGUCGGUUUCACUUACUCCUCUACCAAGAGGGAAUAUGAGCGUUAUGAUGUUACAAUCGUAUCGCUUGAAAUUCAAUGAGUCGGUGUUGCAUAGUUGGGGUGUUCACUUCACGGUGAGUAUUCCGCUGCUGACAACUUAAUGAUGUGAGUAAUUCGUCUUCGGAUGAUACCUUACAUUAAUUAACUGUUGGUGGUUCACUAUGUUAAUACUAGCGUAACCUGUAGCAAGAGUGAUCGAAAGAUCCACUCUUCUCAAACAUAUGACCUGAGAUGAAGCGAGGCUACCCGCGGAAUUUAAGCAUAUUAUUACGCGGAGGAAAAGAAACUAACAAGGAUUCCCCUAGUAACGGCGAGUGAAGCGGGAAGAGCUCAAGUUUAAAAUCGGUGUGCAUUAGUACAUCGAGUUGUAGUCUCGAGACAUGCUGUCUGCGGUGACGUCGGUACAAGUACCUUGGAAGAGGUUAUCAGAGAGGGUGACAAUCCCGUCGCUGACCGACAGAUCGCCGCUUUCGACGUAUGUUCACAGAGUCGGAUUGCUUGGGAGUGCAGUCCUAAUUGGGUGGUAAAUUUCAUCUAAAGCUAAAUAUUGACGAGAGACCGAUAGCGAACAAGUACCGUGAGGGAAAGAUGAAAAGAACUUUGAAAAGAGAGUCAAAAAGUACUUGAACUUGUUAAGAGGGAAGAGCUGAAAACUAGUAUUGCCGUUGUGGGUGAAACGGGUGUUUGCUGUGAGUUUAAACCGCAGUGGGCAUUCGAAUUAUUCAUAGCGGUCCCUCUCAUUGCGAGUAGGUCAGCAUCAUUUCGGAGUGUGGGAGAAAGUUAGGGGGAAGGUGAGGUCUUCGGAUCUGUUAUAGCCCUCUAGCCAUACCAUGUUCUGGAUUGAGGAUUUGUAUCGGCGCUCCGUUUUACGGAGUGACAACUUGGCUCCUCAUGUCUAUCAGGUGCUGGAAAACAAUGUUUUGCGGUGUCUGGUAGGUGUGACAGGGUUGGGAAGUCGCAGCGUUGACGCGAUGCUGACGAAAUGGUUUUCAACUACCCGUCUUGAAACACGGACCAAGGAGUCUAACAUAUAUGCGAGUAUUUGGGUGGAAAACCCUGGUGCGUAAUGAAAGUAAAGGACUCUUCGGAGUCUGAGGUAGGAAUCCCGCAAGGGAGGCACUAUCGACCGAUCGUCACUUGUGAAAGAUUUGAGUAAGAGCAUAUCUGUUGGGACCCGAAAGAUGGUGAUCUAUGCCUGAACAGGGUGAAGCCAGGGGAAACUCUGGUGGAGGCUCGUAGCGAUACUGACGUGCAAAUCGUUCGUCUGAUUUGGGUAUAGGGGCGAAAGACUAAUCGAACUAUCUAGUAGCUGGUUCCCUC
Molecule: unclassified non-coding RNA, 1692 nt
Filed under: uncultured fungus
Lineage: Eukaryota; Fungi
Description: sequence contains 18S rRNA gene, ITS1, 5.8S rRNA gene, ITS2, 28S rRNA gene
Rfam family: Eukaryotic large subunit ribosomal RNA (bases 595-1692)
Source: RNAcentral